Molecule: transfer RNA, 87 nt
Filed under: Acidobacteriota bacterium
Lineage: Bacteria; Pseudomonadati; Acidobacteriota
Also listed under: 2 other names
Description: Acidobacteria bacterium (rhizosphere metagenome) tRNA-Leu
Rfam family: tRNA
About the family: Transfer RNA (tRNA) molecules are approximately 80 nucleotides in length. Their secondary structure includes four short double-helical elements and three loops (D, anti-codon, and T loops).
Source: RNAcentral
GCCCGAGUGGCGAAAUGGCAGACGCAGCAGACUCAAAAUCUGCCGAGGUUAACCCUCAUGUCGGUUCGAGUCCGACCUCGGGCACCA